RNAcentral lists this ribosomal RNA (450 nucleotides) under uncultured bacterium. Its description in RNAcentral is "bacterial SSU rRNA". It matches the Rfam family "Bacterial small subunit ribosomal RNA", at positions 354 to 796 of the family's 1533-position model. The record is from RNAcentral.
GUGGGGAAUAUUGGACAAUGGGCGAAAGCCUGAUCCAGCCAUGCCGCGUGUGUGAAGAAGGUCUUCGGAUUGUAAAGCACUUUAAGUUGGGAGGAAGGGCAGUAAGUUAAUACCUUGCUGUUUUGACGUUACCGACAGAAUAAGCACCGGCUAACUUCGUGCCAGCAGCCGCGGUAAUACGAAGGGUGCAAGCGUUAAUCGGAAUUACUGGGCGUAAAGCGCGCGUAGGUGGUUUUGUAAGUUGGAGGUGAAAUCCCCGGGCUCAACCUGGGAACUGCCUCCAAAACUGAAUGACUAGAGUACGGUAGAGGGUAGUGGAAGUUCCUGUGUAGCGGUGAAAUGCGUAGAUAUAGGAAGGAACACCAGUGGCGAAGGCGACUACCUGGACUGAUACUGACACUGAGGUGCGAAAGCGUGGGGAGCAAACAGGAUUAGAAACCCGUGUAGUCC